RNAcentral lists this ribosomal RNA (490 nucleotides) under uncultured bacterium. RNAcentral's name for it is "partial 16S ribosomal RNA". It matches the Rfam family "Bacterial small subunit ribosomal RNA", at positions 29 to 507 of the family's 1533-position model. The record is from RNAcentral.
GUGAACGCUGGCGGUAGGCCUAACACAUGCAAGUCGAACGGCAGCACAGUAAGAGCUUGCUCUUACGGGUGGCGAGUGGCGGACGGGUGAGGAAUACAUCGGAAUCUACUUUUUCGUGGGGGAUAACGUAGGGAAACUUACGCUAAUACCGCAUACGACCUACGGGUGAAAGCAGGGGAUCUUCGGACCUUGCGCGAUUGAAUGAGCCGAUGUCGGAUUAGCUAGUUGGCGGGGUAAAGGCCCACCAGGCGACGAUCCGUAGCUGGUCUGAGAGGAUGAUCAGCCACACUGGAACUGAGACACGGUCCAGACCCCUACGGGAGGCAGCAGUGGGGAAUAUUGGACAAUGGGCGCAAGCCUGAUCCAGCCAUACCGCGUGGGUGAAGAAGGCCUUCGGGUUGUAAAGCCCUUUUGUUGGGAAAGAAAAGCAGCAGGUUAAUACCCCGCUGUUCUGACGGUACCCAAAGAAUAAGCACCGGCUAACUUCGUG